RNAcentral lists this ribosomal RNA (253 nucleotides) under uncultured bacterium. Its description in RNAcentral is "partial 16S ribosomal RNA". It matches the Rfam family "Bacterial small subunit ribosomal RNA", at positions 524 to 776 of the family's 1533-position model. The record is from RNAcentral.
UACGGAGGAUUCAAGCGUUAUCCGGAAUCAUUGGGUUUAAAGGGUCCGUAGGCGGUUUAAUAAGUCAGUGGUGAAAGCCCAUCGCUCAACGGUGGAACGGCCAUUGAUACUGUUAAACUUGAAUUAUUAGGAAGUAACUAGAAUAUGUAGUGUAGCGGUGAAAUGCUUAGAGAUUACAUGGAAUACCAAUUGCGAAGGCAGGUUACUACUAAUGGAUUGACGCUGAUGGACGAAAGCGUGGGUAGCGAACAGG